GGUUUCGCUCUCUCUCUCUCUCUCUCUCUCUCUCUCUCUCAAAAUGUAAUAUAUUUUUGACUAUGAACACAGAUAUAAGGGUGACGAUGGUAUUCAUCCUGUUCUGUAGAUUCCUGAUAAUAAAUAUAUAGUAGUGCAUGCACAGCAUCUCCUUUUUCACAUCAAACUGCUCCUUCACGACUAGUUCCAUAUGUAGCAUCAAGUUAAAAGUUAAAGUUAAACCUAUGAUUUGCAUCUAACAUAUACAUAAGAUCGCAAAUUUCUAUUUCUUGGCUUGUCAUAUCAUAGAGCCACUUCACUAUUUGGCAAGUCUGUUAGAUUAAACUAUCAUAAUCAUAAACAUACAAGUUCUGAACUUUUGGAUCAAAAUAACUACUAAUUUUGCUUCAAAUAGGUAAUCAACAUCGCUAUCAUACUGGUCGUGGCACAUGAUGAAAGAUGAAUGAAAGAUUUUAUCUUUGAAGUCAUGAUACGGUGCAUAAUGAUGUUAUCCAAGCCACAUUUUGAAGAAAAAGAUUGGCUAAGUUUAGACGAGUAGCUUCACAGAAUGCAGAUACAGAUACCUCUCCUUCUUUAUCAGCAUCUUCCUGAUUGAUAUAUGAAUACUUCUAAGAAAACAUUAGAUUGUUUACCAAAAAUAAUCACUGUCAAAAUAUUCAAGGAAUUAUUGUCCGUGUAUUUUCAGGUAAUCUACGAACUCCUUAAAAUGAAUGAAGUCUUGUCUCUUUAAGUCAGCUCAUCACACUGAUUUGAACAUUUGGAUGACAUGAGCUUGUUAUUAGCUUUAGGCCUUGGAAUUGAAUAGCAUAGCUUGAUGGAUUUCAAAACCGAUUAAAACUUAGCGAUAUACUUUCAAUUUUUUUGAGUUCGUCAACCUAACACAUUUUUUUCUUGAUACAUCAUCAUUUGAGCGGUAUCCUAAUUAUGCCUUUUCUUAUUUUCAACUUCUGUCCUUAGUUGUUAAACUUUAUUCUUAAAGGCCAAAUCAACUGCUAGAUAUUGCUACCAAAAACAGCUGGAUAUUUUUCCUUAAUUUGUCCCCAUUUCUCGUUGUUCAUUGUAUCCAUCAGCAUAAGGAAACCAAACAGUGACCAACCAAAUAGAAAAAACCCAUACACACAGGAUCCUGUUAGAAAUCAAAAACCAAAUACACGAAGAAUGGAGUCCAUUGUUUUGAAAACCAGUACCUCCACCAUAACUAUAAAUUGACCCAAAAGUGAGGCUGUAUUAUUAUCUUACAUUGUUUUUCAAGGGUUAGCUUCCAUUAGAGAUAUGUUACGUAUGUGGCAAAUAGCUGUAGGGUCCCAGAAUGAAGAUGAAGACGAUGCUCAUGCAGACCUGAUCAAGGUUCUCAAAAAUCAAUAUCGAAUUUGAUGGUUUACCAAAGGGAAGGCAGAGGGUUUUGAAAGCCUAGUUUGUUUAGCUAAGAACCAACAAAAAUGAAAGCCGUGAUCCCACAAGAGGCUACUGCAGCUGCUGCUCGAGCAAUUUCACAGGCAGAAGUGGCCAUAGCCGAAGCUGAAGAAGCAGCUGCAGCUGAUGCAGAAGAGCACAAGCUUUUGAUAAAAGAAAAUAAGGGUUACAUGCAACAGAUGGAGAAUGGUGCCCGGCCCCUAAAAUAUAUUGGACAGUGUACAGAGUCUUUUGCCCACUUAACGGCAGGAUGAUGUAAAUUCCUAAAACCGUAGACUUAAGUCUUGUGCAAAUUUAUCAUGAUAACAUUUCUAAUUUUGUAACCACACAAGGAUAUAAUUUGUAACGUAGUCUGUGAUUGCUAAAAUGCUGAAACUCAGAAGAAUCCUCUUUAUAUCCUUUUGCUAGUGAAUCGAAGUCUUUCAA
This is a long non-coding RNA of Pyrus x bretschneideri (Chinese white pear), 1839 nucleotides long. RefSeq lists it as uncharacterized. The transcript has 2 exons. The record is from RefSeq and is a predicted model, not a curated record. Lineage: Eukaryota; Viridiplantae; Streptophyta; Magnoliopsida; Rosales; Rosaceae.